This is a long non-coding RNA of Harpia harpyja (harpy eagle), 5417 nucleotides long. RefSeq lists it as uncharacterized. NCBI's taxonomy places the organism in Eukaryota, Metazoa, Chordata, Aves, Accipitriformes, Accipitridae. The transcript has 5 exons. The record is from RefSeq and is a predicted model, not a curated record.
AAGCCGUCUCGCCAUUCCUGUGCUGCUGUGGACCAAGGAGGUCUUGGGGACAAGAGGCCAGAUUCUUCACCUUUACUUCCAGCAAGGUAUGUUCCCCAUGGACUUCACGGGGUUACUCGUGGAGGAAACGCCGUUCCACAAAGCGGAGCUCAGCUGGGCAUGGUUUGGCCUCCACCAUCCGGUGGUUUUAAUUAUGGAGAGAAACUUCCGCAGACUUUGACUGGAAAUGUUCCGGCUGGGGGCAGUCCAAAUGAGGAAGAGGCUGGAGCACAAUCAAGCUAAUCAUCACAUUAAACAUCUCGUGUUCGGUGACCAGCUCUUGCACCCUGACAGCACCUUGCUCUGCAAACGGCUGUGUUGAAUUCGGUGGAGUGACAGCUCGUAUUCACAUAGCACUUUGCAUUUGACGGGAUCCCUAAAGGAUUUGCAAAUUUGUCAAACUGAAAUAUAGUCCAUUCACUACUGAAGUCAGCUUCCUCCAGCGUGGAAAGCACAUAACUCUGCAAGACAACUGUGUAGAGCAGGGAGUGAUGAACAACGCGCUAUGGAACCUCUGAAGGGGAAUUAGGGCAGGAAUGAUUCAUGGAGUAAGAGAUGUUUUCCAAGGUUAUAUCUUAGCAAGUACAAAAAUGUAGAAGGUAAAAACUAUUUACUGCUCUCCUGGGGAGUUGCCAGUUCUGUGGCCCUGCCCAUGCAUUGCUCCCUGAUGCUCCCGUAUCCCAGAGGACCCGCACCUGCCCGAGGAUGGCAUUGUAAGGGGUUGGCAAUGCCUUUACAGCUUCCAGGGGGAGAGAAAUGCAGCUGAGCAUCCUCCUCCUUGCUCUGUGUGACAGGACCCUGCACCCGAAAGGCAAUGGCAGGAAAACGCUGAAGUCAUCGCAGGUCAAACUUUUGGUAUCGCUUAAAAAAAAGGAGAAGUUGGGCUAUGGACGCAUGAGCAAGUUGCCCUAAGGAUCCCAUAUAUCAACUGACCUGUGAGAACGAUAUCCUUUCUGCAGUGAAAGCCCGGCAAUGCAAGUCAGGUCAAAAAGGAGACUUGCCUGGGAUUUUUCACUGUGUUUUUCCCACCCAGAUCCCACUAAAGCUGAGUGCGUGAUUUUGCUGUAAAAAAGAUGCUGAUUUGCAAGAAUGCAAAACCUGUGCUGACAUCAGUGGGAGUUGUGUAUCUGGAAUGAUUAAAGACCAAAGCCAAUGAUAUGACUGCAUGGUAUUAGCCUGGGAUCUGGGAAAUGAGCACUCUCUGCUCUGCAACUGUGUCUUCUUAAUAAGGGGCAACUUAAGGUGACCGAAAACCCAGUCCCGCUGAUCAUCUGCACUGUGAACUUCUAAAGUCAUCUCCCAGCAGCUGCCCAGUUUGACCUUGAAAGCUGUGAUGCACGUCUAGGUAAGGGCAGGUCUGCAGUCUGUCCUCACCUCCAAUCCUACGUACCCGGCGUGAUGGGCUGGACUGUCCACCGGCAGCAACACCCUCGUCCUCUCCUCCGGGCUCCCAGGUCCUCGCUGCGUUGCUUCUCCUUCCACAGCUCCUCGGGUGAGCUGAGCUCCCAGGGAGACCCCCUGCAAGAAGGGCUUUCUCAGGUACUGUGGUAAGAGGGAUGUAUUCAAUUGCUAUGGCUGUAGAUAUCUUCCACUACUAUUUUUUCCCAAACAUCAUCUGAUUUACUCCAGUGAUAAAUCCAAUGUUCUGUAUAAACAUUUAUUUCCUUGACAACCUAGUUUUCCGUUAGAAAAAUGCCCAAACCUGGGACCUAUUAUGGCAGUUGACAGGCAAAAAUUCAGCUUGUGUGGACUCAUGCUGUUUAGCAUAUAUACCCCAAGAGUGAGAAAAUGGCAUGUGUCACAAACCCACAACCACCUUAUUGUACUGCGAGAGCCACAGGGGAUGCACACGGUGACAGGGAAGCCAGGUUCUUUUCAGCCCUUUUUCAUAUUUGGAGUGUUAACGGGGCCAAGAUUAAAACAUCUGAAAUGUCUUUCAGUGGUAAGGACCCUCAAAUUAAUGAUUUUUGCAGACUAAUUGCCCCCCAAACAAUUUUUUAACCCACUGUUUGAUACAGUUUUACCUGUCAGGCUAAAGAGAGGUGUCAGAAAGCUUUUCGUUUCCACGAAAAGCAAAAUGAUGCAAAAAGCCAGGAGCCUGGCAGGAGAGGAUUUUCCCAGCUGAGAAUUACAAAAGAACACCUUCGUUUUAGAGACGAGUUCAGAGGUGAGCAUGUAAACCAGCCAGGCAUGGUACCAUGAUCAGCACAAAGCCUCGGCGCAGGCUUAGCAAGGAUGUCUGCUGGCACCCUGAACAUCACGGAGAAGGCUGCUUCAGGUUUCUGUUUUUAGGGCUGAGCUUUGCCUCAUUUCAUUAUGAUCGGACGUUGGGUGCUGAGGGUGUGCGGUCUCCGGUUGUGCCCAGAGAGCCAAAGAACAUCCCCAUAAGCCACGACCUGCAGCUGGAGCUUCAGGCGCUCUGGUAGCACAGGCGGGUUAUAAUUCACAAACAUCCUCAGAGGCUCCUGUGCCAUCAGAAAACAGGGAGGACAGGUCCAGCAGGCUCUCCCCGCUUUCUUGUUUGCUGGCCGUGGCUCAGGAGUAGAAGACGUGGACCGUAUGUUGGGGGGGGACUGCUCCAGACCUGCUGGAAUGCAAUUACCUCCGUGGUGCUUCAUCAGCAGUUUCCAUAUAAAGAGUAUUUUGGAAGGAGCAGAAAAAUGCUUUGUGCAAUUAAAAAUAUCAAAAAGGACUUGGGAUGGUAGAAUGUAAAUAACUAAAUGACCAAAUCAGCUUUCUCUUCUUGGAAGAGAUCCAUAACACAGAUGCUGGUGGGUAUAUUAUCUUUUGAAUGGCUCUGUCCUAUUCCUUCCUCAGCUGCCUGUACCUCCUGCUCUGCCGUGACACUGCUAGGCACCCUGCAUUGCCACACUCGAUUUCUCCAAAUAAUGGUCUUUCGAAGAAUAAUGCCCCUUUCCACAAGGUUGAGAAAUGGCUGAAUCAGUGAAAGCAGUGCUUGGAAGAUUUCCUGGGAGGUUACUGUCUCAGGUAAGUACUGGUCAGGACCUCAUCCUGUUCAGCCCAUUAGAAAUGCUGACACUGCAAAACCCGCUGGUGAGAUUUCAGGCUGUAGUCUUUCCCGUUAAAAACACCACAAAUAACCUCCCUUGCUCCAGAAUGAAAUAUGAACCUGGAGUUUUUUUCUGAUUUCCGCAAGUAAACCCAUUAAUGUCCGGAUCCAAAGCUGCUUUCCACAUCGGCAGGCAUCCAACCCAGUUGCAAUUUUCAAGUGAAAUUGUCAUUAAUGUGAUAGUGCAUGUGAAAGACAGGGUUGUGUAGCUGUGGUUAAUGAGACUGCUUUCACUUAGAUGGGCCCAGAGCAUUAAAUCUGUAUUCUGGGUAUGUUUGGUCCAGAGUAGAUGUGCUGUAGUCCAUGUCAGGAGCUGCAAAUGCAAACCUAUACUAUUUUCAUUAAAAUCAAAUCGAGAUCUUAACAAAGCAGCUAUAUUUUUGGCACCUAACUUGUUCUGUUAAAAAAAAAUACUUAUUUUAAAAAUUAAUAAUGCUAAUAGUCAUCUAAUUAUGUGAAAUGCUCACACUUAUUGCUUUGACUUUUUCCAUGGGGACGUGUCACUAAAAAUAAAAGAUGUUACUUUAAUACUGGCCAAAGCACAAUUCAAACCCAGCCACUGUUGACAUGAUACAGCUUUUCACCUGAGCAAAAGAGUCUAUGUUGCAGGAGCUCCAAGAGCAGUUUUGUUCCUUUAAAGUAAAUGAUUUUUGAAUCAAACCCAUUGAUCAGCUACUGUCAUUUGUCUAUUCUUUCUGUUGGUGCCAAAAGGACUCUGCUCUUUCUGCCUCUACAAAGAUGCAUGAUCUGAGCAUUCACUGAACAUCCAGUUUUGCUUGAAGCUUUGUGCUUAGCGAUACAUAAGAGGUUGAGAAAUGCUGAGAAAUAGGGUAUUAAGUGUAGGACACUGCAUCCAUCCAGUUAGGGGCACAGGAGAAACUAAGUCCGCUUGGUCUUUAACCUUGUUGAAUCCUUCGGGCUGGCGUAGACCUUGCAGCUGCUGCAAGGGAGAGCUGUACCUGGGUGGGCUUUUCAACUAAACCACCCGCGUGCGAGCAGCAGCGAUUGAUUUGGUACCCAGUGUGUGGUACCGAUGGAUAAACCCUGCUUUUUCAGACAUCAGUACCGGCGCCUGGCAUUUGCAAAGCAGAUCUCUCUAGAAUCGCCUUCACGUGGUAUUGGGGGGCUUUUGAUCUCUUUGGGUAUUGCGAGGCGUGGAACUGUGUGAGAACAAAAUGUAACACAAAUAAAAUGAUGACAUGAGAGAGAUGAAGGUGGUAUGGGUUAAGGAGGCAGGAUUUGGAGGGGGAGAAAAAAAAUUUCAAUUUUUCCAAUGUGGCUCACCAGUCCCCUGUGUGCAGACUAAUUUUAGAGAUAAUUGUUACAUGAUUUCCUGAAUAUAAUCUAUUGUUAUAUGUGCCCUGCAAAAUAAAGCCGUGUCUAAUUCUGGAUAACCACAGGGGUGAUUUCACAGUUACACUGAAAUGAGACUAAGGACUUGUUAAUGAUCUUUAAAGAUCACAUCAUUUAAUUCUGUGCUGUUGGUAGUUAAACCAAACUAGUCACAAAGGGGUACGCGCUCCUUCCAGUGCAGGCAGCAGCCCCUGUAAAUUCCGGCGGCAGGGAGAAAGGAAGAAGCCGCCGGUCACACAUCCCACCUCGGUGCGCCAGUGUCAGCCGAGUGUUUGAGACAAGGCAUGGGAUAAUUUGCUAUUUCACUUGCAUAACUAGUCCGCAACCUGGAGCAAAGGGUUUAAAGGCCAGGUCCUGCUGCUGCUGAGAGUGUUUCUGAAGUGCUAAGAGCCUCUGCCUCCCCAAACAGCGAAUGUGUGACAUGUUCCGAAGCAGGCGGGAAUUACCAGCCAGAAAAUGCUCACUCUCCAACAGGGCAAUUAGGAACACUGGGAGCUGCUGGGCACUUGAUGGGCUGGAGGUAAAAAAAAAACCCACUGUGGAAAAGUACCAACAGCUCAGGAGGUGAUGCUGCUAUUUUUCCUGCUUUCCAGUGUUUUCCUGGCUUCAGGUGUGAUUCUCCACUUUAAUGAAACCUUCAGGUUAGCUUAUGGAGGGAGAGACAACUCACCUUAAGGAGCGAACGAUAGAAUCACAUUUAUCUGUGGUUUCCAGUAGAAAAGAAGAAGGGAGCAAUCGGUUCUCCUCUCCUCUCCAAAAACAGGUCCCAGGAGCAGAUUAGAUGGAAAUAAUGUGAUGAGGAGCUAAAGUUCACCCAACAAAAUAAGGUAAACUAUUGUCAGCUUACUGGAAAUGAUUAAUGGAUUUUGAUACAUUUUGUCAAAUAGUUGUGAACAAAAAGGAAAGAAGAUGAUCAGAAAAAACAACAACUUUGAGAUAUGUUUCUGACUUUUUU